GGUGGUUCUCAGGUGACACACCCUGGAAUUGGGUUCCCCCUGUCUGGUUCCAGGUGCGUCACCCCAAGGACUGCA
Molecule: non-coding RNA, 75 nt
Organism: Myotis davidii
Lineage: Eukaryota; Metazoa; Chordata; Mammalia; Chiroptera; Vespertilionidae
Source: Rfam